Molecule: ribosomal RNA, 390 nt
Filed under: Citrobacter freundii
Lineage: Bacteria; Pseudomonadati; Pseudomonadota; Gammaproteobacteria; Enterobacterales; Enterobacteriaceae
Description: bacterial SSU rRNA
Rfam family: Bacterial small subunit ribosomal RNA
Source: RNAcentral
AGAUGCUUUGGUGCCUUCGGGAACUCUGAGACAGGUGCUGCAUGGCUGUCGUCAGCUCGUGUUGUGAAAUGUUGGGUUAAGUCCCGCAACGAGCGCAACCCUUAUCCUUUGUUGCCAGCGGUUCGGUCGGGAACUCAAAGGAGACUGCCAGUGAUAAACUGGAGGAAGGUGGGGAUGACGUCAAGUCAUCAUGGCCCUUACGAGUAGGGCUACACACGUGCUACAAUGGCAUAUACAAAGAGAAGCGACCUCGCGAGAGCAAGCGGACCUCAUAAAGUAUGUCGUAGUCCGGAUUGGAGUCUGCAACUCGACUCCAUGAAGUCGGAAUCGCUAGUAAUCGUGGAUCAGAAUGCCACGGUGAAUACGUUCCCGGGCCUUGUACACACCGCC